AACAGGAUUAGAUACCCUGGUAGUCCACGCCCUAAACGAUGUCAACUGGUUGUUGGGAGGGUUUCUUCUCAGUAACGUAGCUAACGCGUGAAGUUGACCGCCUGGGGAGUACGGCCGCAAGGUUGAAACUCAAAGGAAUUGACGGGGACCCGCACAAGCGGUGGAUGAUGUGGUUUAAUUCGAUGCAACGCGAAAAACCUUACCUACCCUUGACAUGCCAGGAAUCUUGCAGAGAUGUGAGAGUGCUCGAAAGAGAACCUGGACACAGGUGCUGCAUGGCCGUCGUCAGCUCGUGUCGUGAGAUGUUGGGUUAAGUCCCGCAACGAGCGCAACCCUUGUCAUUAGUUGCUACGAAAGGGCACUCUAAUGAGACUGCCGGUGACAAACCGGAGGAAGGUGGGGAUGACGUCAGGUCAUCAUGGCCCUUAUGGGUAGGGCUACACACGUCAUACAAUGGCCGGGACAGAGGGCUGCCAACCCGCGAGGGGGAGCUAAUCCCAGAAACCCGGUCGUAGUCCGGAUCGCAGUCUGCAACUCGACUGCGUGAAGUCGGAAUCGCUAGUAAUCGCGGAUCAGCUUGCCGCGGUGAAUACGUUCCCGGGUCUUGUACACACCGCCCGUCACACCAUGGGAGCGGGUUCUGCCAGAAGUAGUUAGCCUAACCGCAAGGAGGGCGAUUACCACGGCAGGGUCCGUGACUGGGGUGAAGUCGUAACAAGGUAACC
This 725-nucleotide ribosomal RNA is filed under the name uncultured bacterium. Its description in RNAcentral is "bacterial SSU rRNA". It matches the Rfam family "Bacterial small subunit ribosomal RNA", at positions 771 to 1501 of the family's 1533-position model. The record is from RNAcentral.